CGGUCGCAAGAUUAAAACUCAAAGGAAUUGACGGGGACCCGCACAAGCGGUGGAUGAUGUGGAUUAAUUCGAUGCAACGCGAAAAACCUUACCUACCCUUGACAUGUCUGGAAUCCCGAAGAGAUUUGGGAGUGCUCGCAAGAGAACCGGAACACAGGUGCUGCAUGGCUGUCGUCAGCUCGUGUCGUGAGAUGUUGGGUUAAGUCCCGCAACGAGCGCAACCCUUGUCCUUUGGUUGUUACGAAAGGGCACUCUAAUGAGACUGCCGGUGACAAACCGGAGGAAGGUGGGGAUGACGUCAAGUCCUCAUGGCCCUUAUGGGUAGGGCUUCACACGUCAUACAAUGGUCGGGACAGAGGGUCGCCAACCCGCGAGGGGGAGCCAAUCCCAGAAACCCGAUCGUAGUCCGGAUCGCAGUCUGCAACUCGACUGCGUGAAGUCGGAAUCGCUAGUAAUCGCGGAUCAGCAUGUCGCGGUGAAUACGUUCCCGGGUCUUGUACACACCGCCCGUCACACCAUGGGAGUGGGUUUUUCCAGAAGUAGUUAGUCUAACUUCAAGGGGGGCCAGUAUCGUUUUAUCAUUCCAAAG
This 589-nucleotide ribosomal RNA is filed under the name Bordetella sp. HPC506. Its description in RNAcentral is "bacterial SSU rRNA". It matches the Rfam family "Bacterial small subunit ribosomal RNA", at positions 883 to 1474 of the family's 1533-position model. The record is from RNAcentral. Lineage: Bacteria; Pseudomonadati; Pseudomonadota; Betaproteobacteria; Burkholderiales; Alcaligenaceae.